Long non-coding RNA from Spinacia oleracea (spinach), 1328 nucleotides. RefSeq lists it as uncharacterized. The record is from RefSeq and is a predicted model, not a curated record. The transcript has 2 exons. NCBI's taxonomy places the organism in Eukaryota, Viridiplantae, Streptophyta, Magnoliopsida, Caryophyllales, Amaranthaceae.
UGGAUAAUGUGAUGCGCCACAUAAAGUGUAAUUUAUUUGAGAUUAUUUUACCCCGUAUCUUCUGUCAUUGACAAAGUAAAAAAACCUGCAGAACUCUUCUUUUUAUCUGGGUAUUUUUCACUUUGUUCUUUUAUCCUCUUUAUCUUAAGCCAGACUUCUUAUUCUGUUUUUUUUUUUUUUUAAUAUUUUUUUUUAGUUCUGGAAUCUGUCGUCAUUAAUCCUACUGCAUAUGAACUACUGUGCACAAUUAAGAGUAUUUAUAUAUUCAUAAAUCUCCUCAAAACAUAUUCUUGCUUUAAAAAUACAAACCCCACACUAAUAUUCCUCAAAGAACCCAUCUUCAACCUUUCUCUCUCCUCCUAGCAGCCUCCAUUGUCAACAAUUUUGCUGGAAAUCUUGUUAGUACCAUGUAGCCUGGAGCAGGAAGAGAACAGAUUGAAGGGAGAAAACCCUUCUGCAGAUGUCUUAGCAGAUUCGAACUUCGAGUUCCUACACACAAAAUUAAACAAUAAUGACCACAAAACACGGCAAUGGUUGAAAAAUUUGAUGCAUAAAAUAGGCAGAAAGGAGCAGAACGUCCAUACCACACCAUAGCAGAACUUUGUUUGGCAACUUCUUUAUCUCCUCAUAAGAUGGUCCAGCGCUCAAAUCAACAGCAAGGAUAUUGUCAACUGAUAUGUCAUAACCCUGUAACAAAUUUUGAUUACAUCAGUGAUCAUAAGCCGUAACAUAAUUUUAUUAUCUAACAGUGCUAAAACUAGAUAAGGUUCGUCUUCUUACAACUUCACCAACUUUAAUUGGUUCAUAGGUUUUCUCUAAGUAGUUGAGGAUCAUCUUGUAAUCAUCAGAUUCUUUGUCCAAUGGGGUUAUUUUGCACCCGAGCUUCUUGUAACGGUCUGACAACGGGUCAUCCAAUGUCGAGCCACUCAUGUCACCUAUCAAACGUGAAGCCACAUUUAUGUCCCUGAUAGCCUCGAGAGGAGAUGCAGCCUGCACAAAUUUCCCACAUUAGCAAACAGAACAAGAAAUAACUUGGGAGGACAUGUUUAGUGGUGUACGUAGCACGAAGUUUUACAUGAUCUGCAAGUUCCUGGAAGUCCUUGAAGAUGAAAGGACGAGUAGAAUGCAUGAGAGUAAACCAUUUGGAGCUAAAUUCAGACCACAACGCUUCAGCCUUUGGCCCUUUUUGCUCCUGCGACUUCAUAUCCUCUAUAAAUUGCAGAAGAGCGUCCUCGCCUGACAUAGAAGUUACGCUUGAUAUAAAUGUACAAGAAGACGGCAUAUAUCUAAAUGUUCCAAAUAUAUGUUAAAAAAUGCUAGAUGAUGUA